GAUGAAGAACGUAGCGAAAUGAGAUACUUGGUGUGAAUUGCAGAAUCCCGUGAACCAUCGAGUCUUUGAACGCAAGUUGCGCCCGAAGCCAUUAGGCCGAGGGCACGCCUGCCUGGGCGUCACACGUCGUUGCCCCCCCAUCUACUCCUUCGGGAUUGCGGGGGGCGGAUGAUGGCCUCCCGUGCGCCUCGCCGCGCGGUUGGCAUAAAUGCCAAGUCCUCGGCGACGCACGCCACGACAAUCGGUGGUUGCGAAACCUCGGUUGCCCGUCGUGUGCGGUCGUCGCGCAUCGAGGGCUCGAAAAAAUUGCCGGGUUCCGGCUCGGCUUUCAACGCGACCCCAGGUCAGGAGGGGUUACCCGCUGAAUUUAAGCAUAUCAAUAAGCGGAGGA
RNAcentral lists this unclassified non-coding RNA (391 nucleotides) under soil metagenome. RNAcentral describes it as "partial contains 5.8S ribosomal RNA, internal transcribed spacer 2, and large subunit ribosomal RNA". The stretch from base 1 to 122 matches the Rfam family "5.8S ribosomal RNA", at positions 35 to 154 of the family's 154-position model. The record is from RNAcentral.